Molecule: long non-coding RNA, 3974 nt
Filed under: Homo sapiens (human)
Lineage: Eukaryota; Metazoa; Chordata; Mammalia; Primates; Hominidae
Description: HSALNT0334200
Source: RNAcentral
GUUGCAGGAAAAUUAAAUGUGGUUUUCCUCAUCAUCGUGAACAACAGGGGUACAGGAAAACUGGGGGAUAAUGUCCCCAUUAGCCUGUUUUCUUAGCACACAGAGGGAGAGAUUUUAAAAAUAAAAUAAAACUACAUCCCAAUUUGAUGCCCUAACCUACCAAAACAAAACACAUGCAGAUUUUAAAAUGUAGAAAAAUCCCAUCAGAGUCAAUUCAGUUAUCCCCCUGCCUCUAACAGGUGUCCCAUAACCAGGACAGAUCACCUGGAUGCCUGCCUGCCCUGAUAACUGAUGUUGAAGGUCAGUUGACCCAUCUCACCUCCUCCAGGAAGCCUCGCUGCUCCAGCCCUCCCACACUGCCAGGCCUCCAACCACCAGCCCUGGCUCUUACAACCUGGACAAUCUUGCUUUUUUCUGGCCCUGGAACUUUGCCCGCAAGACCACGUAAGACACAGUCUUCCCCCAAGUUCUCCCCUUUCCAUUUCUGUGCUGAAAUGAACCCCCCUCAGAGGGCCAGCUACACGUCACCAUCUUUAGCAAAUACACACUGAACACGAAGGCACGAGAUCGGUGCUGGGAAGAGGGAGAGAGAAAAGGUUCCUGUUCUCAAGAUUUUCCUGGUUUAAUAGCAGUAGUGUUUUCUCGGCUAUGUGCAGGGCACAGUUCUGAGCACUGCUUAUGGGCUGACUGCGUAAUUUGCACAAUAAUCUCUGCAACAAGAGUGCUACUGCUGUCCCCAUUCCACAGAAGACAAAAACAAGGCUUCUUUUAUCAGCUAGCAGAACCGGGGUUGAAUCCAGCCAGCGUGCUCCGCAGCUAGUCACAACACUACAGUUUGGCCUUUACCCAGUGAGCAAAAAGGUCAUUUCAAGCAAUGGUGUGUGUAUGCGUCACCAUUCCAAGUGCCAAAUUCAGUCUCUUCUAUAGUUUUCCUUGAAGAGGCCACAGAACAAACCUUAGCAAAGACAGAAAAUGACAACUUUUGCCUCCUCCCAGUUCUGAUCUGCCCUGUACUGGUUUCCUAGCUUAUGCUCCCAGGAAGGCGUGACCUUACCUGGAUCUUGUGAAUGAGUACCUGUCUUUAGCACACCAGUUCUCCACACCUGCAUGACGUUCUCUCCCCUGCCCUGGAGCUCUGGGGGUUCCACCAUGGCAGCAUUCUCCAUAUCUGACUCCCACUCUCUGUCCACUGUGAGGGCUAGGCCAGCUCUUCCCCAAGAGCUCAGCAAUGUGCCCAGCACUCUGCAGACCUGUGUGGCCAGUGGGUGGCUUCCUUUUGGAUGUGGCCAUCCGGUCCCUCCCCACUCAAACUCCUCCUGCAUCUCUUGUCCCUGCACACCCACCACCUCAUUAACCCAAGCCUCAGGAACCACCCUUAGCCCACAUUUUAAGAUGAAAAGUUUGAGAUCUGGGGAAGUGAAGCCAAGCUCACAGCAUCACAUACCUGGGAGACGGUGCAGCCAGAUUCAAAGCCAGGUCUGCCUGGCUCCUGGGAUCAUUCCUUUGGGCAGGACUGAUCAUUGCCUGAACUGGGUGACCUCAAAGGGACUGAGUAGGACUAAAAGGUUGCACUGAGGGCAUAAAUAUGGAUUUGUCAUCAGGAUCUCAGUGAGACAAGGCCGUAACUCCAAUGUGGCUAAGGGAAGGGCCCCUAAAUGUGAGACCAGUGAUAUCGAAUAGCAGCAUUUCUAGAAAUUCCUUUGGAAGAGUGGCAUUUCACUCAUCCUUGAAAGUAAAAUGGAAAUUGAUCUUCUUUGCACUGGAGAGCUAUUUUCCAGAAGCUACCUGAAGGAAGGCCUAGAGCUGCAGACAGCCUGAGCCUCCUCUUCCAGGGCCUUCUCUAACAAUGCAUUCCAGGACAGCCAAAGUCAUGCCAGAGAAAGAAAAAUGAAAAGGGACAAGGCAAGGACUAAUGUUCAAUGAUGCUUACUCUGCACCAGGGGCUUGGUAGAUUUUAUUUUAUUCAAUUGACCCUGUAGCCUAUGAUGUGACAUACACAGUGAGACAAGAUAUUUACCUAAAGCUACACAGACAGCAAGGGGUCGGACCAGAAUUUCAGUUCAGAUCUUUCUGACCACAAAACCUGGAUUCUUUCUAGGACCUCAAAGUCUCCAGUCAUGGAAGGAAGAGACCUGGAGCCACUGUAGAUGAUAUGUCAGCCUGAAAUAUAAGAAGGAAGCUAGAUUUUAAAUCAUUGAGAAAGAGAGCCAAUAUACACUUGGCUAAAGAUAGAGUGAUUAUGUGAGUGAUUAAGGAGAAAGGUACCAUAGUAUAUUUGACCAGGGCUUGAAAAUCAUAUGACAUAAAUUAUUUUACUCAUUAAUGAUCAGUUAAUGAUGCUGUUUUUAAAAUAAUUAAAGCAAGAGCACCUUAAGGCAUUUGAAACUACGUGCUUAUGUUCUAAAUUUGGGGCCAAGUUCAGUUUGUAGUUUGGGUCAUAUAGAGGAGACAGAGGAACCUCCUGCUGCCAGACAUAACAAUAAUCAUAGCUAUAAUAGCUAUUAUCAUAUGUGUUACUAACUGAAAAUGUCUUAAACACACAAACUCAUGUAAUCCUACAAAGUGACUGUUAUUAUUCCCAUUUAUGGAGGAGAAAAUGGAGUCUCAGAGAGGUUAAGUAAACUGCCCAAGGUCACACCGCUGAUUAAGGCCAGAGUGGGAAUUCAAACCCAGGUUUCUUCCGCCAGAGUUUAAACACUUAACACCUACAGCAUAUCCUAGUUUUUACAAAAGAGCUAUCUUAAAGCUUCAAUUUUCUGUUGUCAACCUUUGAACUCUAACAAGGUUAAAAUCACAUGUCCUCCCUAACUCCAGCCCUUUGUCCCCACUGGCGGCCUGCCGAAGUGGAGCUGCAUAGCUGGGUGAGGGCAACCAGACUGAACACAGGAAUGCCUGGAUUCUCAGACACUGUAGAUGCCCAUGGGAAGAGGGAGCACUCAACAGAGUCGCUCAAUGAGAGGCACACCUUCUCCCAGCUCUUUAACAUGAGGAGGAGGCUGAACCAGCUGACCCUAAAGCCCUCCAGUGCUUAGGUCCUGAUGCCUCUGGCCUGCCCUGCCACGGCUGUCCUUGUGGAGCUAAGGUGGACCCUCUUAGCUAAGGGAGUCAAAGUGGAGGGAGUCAAAGCCAGUGACUCGGCUCCUUCCAUAGGCUAAGGGCUCCAGGCUCAGACUAAUACAGAUGCUUUUUGACUUCCGAUGAGGUUACAUAAGUUGAAUGUUUACAAUACUUUCAACUUACGAUGGGUUUAGGUUUUUCUGGACAUCACUAGAUCAUAAGUCUAGGAGUGUACUGAAUGCUAAUUGCCUUCGCAUCAUUGUAAAGUCAGAAAUCCUAAGUUGAAACAUCCUAAGUUGGGGACUGUCUAUAUUCCUUCUUUCUCCCUUUCUAGGGCACAGAGGAUAUUCUGGGCUUUCUGAUCUUCACCCCGGGUCCCCAUGGAUUCUCCAAGAAGCCUUUUAGAUUGGUUGCUCCAACUAGUCCCACUGCUAGCCCCAUUCCUGCCACCCCAGGACACAUUCUGGGCUCAGUUUAUUUACACGUUUGGGGAAGGCACUGCCUGGGUGGCUCCUGCUUCUCUAGCAGGCAGGGGCUCCCCACAGACUCACACACACUAAUUUGUCCUGAUCCUCCCUAUUGCCCUUUUCUAUUUUCCAGGCCUCAGGGUGGAAAAUGAAAGAUGCUUAAGGUCACUGCCCCUCCUGUUCUGUACACAAGCCUAAGCUCGGGAGGAAAUAAUUUGAGGUAUCUGGAAGAAGCAGAGAGAGCAGGGCAGCUCUGAAGUCACUGCGAGGCUGUGAGAGGUCAGCCAGCGCUUCAAAGGACCCCAGGACCUUUGCAUAACCCUGGACUGAAUGGGAAGGGAAAGUCCCAGUCAUGACAGAAACGGAAUUUCCCACCAACUCAGUAGGAGGUUUGGGGUUCAGGGUCAGUUUCAUGGCAGUGCAAACAAAAUAAAGAAAAUGUGAUAUUUA